This 216-nucleotide ribosomal RNA is filed under the name uncultured bacterium. RNAcentral's name for it is "partial 16S ribosomal RNA". It matches the Rfam family "Bacterial small subunit ribosomal RNA", at positions 29 to 267 of the family's 1533-position model. The record is from RNAcentral.
AACGAACGCUGGCGGCAGGCUUAACACAUGCAAGUCGAACGGUUGUAGCAAUACAGCAGUGGCAGACGGAUGAGUAACACGUGGGAACCUUCCUAGGGGUACGGAACAACUCAGGGAAACUUGAGCUAAUACCGUAUACGUCCGUGAGGAGAAAGUUUUUAACGCCCCUACGACGGGCCCGGCCGUAGGAGUUAGGUUAGGUUGGUUGGAGGUAAC